CCCUUUGGGUGUGACUGCGUACCUUUUGUAUAAUGGGUCAGCGACUUAUAUUCUGUAGCAAGGUUAACCGAAUAGGGGAGCCGGAGGGAAACCGAGUCUUAAUUGGGCGUUAAGUUGCAGGGUAUAGACCCGAAACCCGGUGAUCUAGCCAUGGGCAGGUUGAAGGUUGGGUAACACUAACUGGAGGACCGAACCGACUAAUGUUGAAAAAUUAGCGGAUGACCUGUGGCUGGGGGUGAAAGGCCAAUCAAACCGGGAGAUAGCUGGUUCUCCCCGAAAGCUAUUUAGGUAGCGCCUCGUGAAUUCAUCUCCGGGGGUAGAGCACUGUUUCGGCUAGGGGGCCAUCCCGGCUUACCAACCCGAUGCAAACUGCGAAUACCGGAGAAUGUUAUCACGGGAGACACACGGCGGGUGCUAACGUCCGUCGUGAAGAGGGAAACAACCCAGACCGCCAGCUAAGGUCCCAAAGUCAUGGUUAAGUGGGAAACGAUGUGGGAAGGCCCAGACAGCCAGGAUGUUGGCUUAGAAGCAGCCAUCAUUUAAAGAAAGCGUAAUAGCUCACUGGUCGAGUCGGCCUGCGCGGAAGAUGUAACGGGGCUAAACCAUGCACCGAAGCUGCGGCAGCGAACGUAUCACUUAAAGCGAUUCAGCGGGUUACGAUUGACGGAGCGAAGCGACGUCAAAGCGUAUACAAAGUCGAGUCGGUUUAAGGAUACGUUCGUUGGGUAGGGGAGCGUUCUGUAAGCCUGCGAAGGUGGCCUGUGA
RNAcentral lists this ribosomal RNA (765 nucleotides) under Salmonella enterica subsp. enterica serovar Enteritidis. RNAcentral's name for it is "partial 23S ribosomal RNA". It matches the Rfam family "Bacterial large subunit ribosomal RNA", at positions 582 to 1266 of the family's 2925-position model. Lineage: Bacteria; Pseudomonadati; Pseudomonadota; Gammaproteobacteria; Enterobacterales; Enterobacteriaceae. The record is from RNAcentral.